Long non-coding RNA from Hemiscyllium ocellatum (epaulette shark), 2784 nucleotides. RefSeq lists it as uncharacterized. The transcript has 2 exons. The record is from RefSeq and is a predicted model, not a curated record. NCBI's taxonomy places the organism in Eukaryota, Metazoa, Chordata, Chondrichthyes, Orectolobiformes, Hemiscylliidae.
AGGCACUGUGUGGAUCUCUUCAUGGACUUUAUCGCCAUCUUCAGGAAGCUGAUGUUACUGCUGGCCAUGAAUGAGAAGGACAAGAAGAGGCGUAAUGACUCCAAGUGAACAGAAGAUUACUGAACCCUCCCGGUCCCCGUCCCCACCCACCACCCCUCCCAAACCCCCCCCCCUCCCCCUCGCUUACCUUGCACUGAUUAAACAGAAUGAUUGAGAAACUGAAUAGGAUUGUAGGCUUUGGUGUUCCCCCAUACCCACUGCCCCCUGAAUCCUCCCACCCCGGGUUAACACAGGAAGACCCUUUCAAACCACAGGAUCAGCGUUAGCACAACACCCAGACCCUCUACCCCUCCUCCAACCUGCCCUCUCCACCCCCCCCUCCCUCUCUGUGCCUCCUACUGUCUUCCCCCUUUACCUCUACCACACUCACCAUCCCUCGCUCUCUGUGUCUCUCUCUCUCUGUCACUGUCCUCUCUCUCGCUCCCCUCAUUCAUCCCACCCUCAGUUCUCCUGCUUUGUCCCCCUUUCCUCUCCCACCGCCUCCAUCCCCCCUCCCCCACCAUUACACCCCACUCUCUUCAUUUCUCCUCUCUCCCCCCCCCCUCACUCCCCACUUACCCAUUCUCCUCUCUCUCCUUGCGCUCUCUCUCUCUCUCUCUCUCUCCAACCUCCAAACAUUUUCUCUCUCUCCAUCUCCCAAUCUCUCUUCCUCCAUUUCCUCUUUCAUUCCCCACUCUCUUGCCCUCUCCAUCCCUUCCUAUCUCUCUCCAGUUCCCCUGUCUCACUCAUUCCCUCUCUCUGUGUGUCUCUCUGUCUGUCUGUCUCUCUCUCCGUGUCUCUCUCUCUCUCUCUCUCUCCCCCUGUCUCUCUCUCUCUCUCUCCCCCUGUCUCUCUCUCUCUCUCUUUCUCCCCCUGUCUCUCUCUCUCUCUCUCCCUCUCUCUCUGCAACUCGCACUUCCCUCUGAUAUCUCCCUCUGAUUAGGUGGGUCCUCCUUUAUUAACCCCCCCCCAUCUCUGAUACCCUCCCCUCCCCUCCCCUCCCCCUCCUUCAUCCCCCCCGCCCCAACUCUCACGCACAUACCACCACCCACCCGCACACCUCGCCCCGCUCCUUCGCAGAAUUGACUCCCCCCACCCCACUCCCGCACCCGGCCCUGACCCUGACCCUGCGGGGGUGGGGAGGGUGGCGUGUUUUGGGGGGAGAGACAGUGAGUCAGCUUCCCCCCCCCAACCUCAAGCCCCGAUACCCGGGAGAAAGCGCACGCGCUCUGCAUUGUCAUUGUCACCAGAGAGGGGUGUGAACACUGCGCGGGGAGGGGUGCGGUUGAGCGAUGGAAGAGUGUGGGAUUGUGCCCAGGGGACUCGGAGUCCAGAAGGUGGGAGUGGGUGGGGGCCAGUUGGACGUUAGACGCUGUUGAUCCCCCGUCCCAUCCUCUUUUCCCUCCCACCCCCAAACUCAUUAUGGAAUUCCAACCCCUUCCCCAGACACGGGCACACACCGACAGUGCAGUGGGCGGAGAUUCUCCAGAGCGAGCUGUUUAUCACCCCCCUCACCCCCACCACCUGUUGGGAGGGCACUCACAGGUCUCCAACCAGAGUGCCACCACCACCACCACAACAGCCCCUAAACGUCCGACCCCAGGCCAUCACAGCCAUCAGUUCUCACAGUGGGACACCACCUCCUACCUCAUCUCAGGUUCACUGAGGCAGGAAGGUGGGCACUGUCUGAGGGAGGUGGACAUUGUGGGAGGGUCAGUGCUGAGGGAGUGGGUGCUGUGGGAGGGUCAGUGCUGAGGGAGUAGGUGCUGAGGGAGUGGACGCUGUGGGAGGGUCAGUGCUGAGGGAGUGGACGCUGUGGGUCAGUGCUGAGGGAGUGGGUGCUGUGGGAGGGUCAGUGCUGAGGGAGUGGAUGCUGAGGGAGGGUCAGUGCUGUGGGAGGGUCAGUGCUGAGGGAGUGGGUGUUGUUGGGGUCUGUGUCUUUCAAGCCAGACAUUGAGUAAAUCUGCGUACUCAGUCCAUUGGGUGAUGCCAGCACCAUCCCCGGGUGGUAGAGCAGGGGAGGGUGUGGUGGGGGGGUUAGUGAUCUGACCCUGAGGACCCCCACCCCCUCCCUCCAGUACACAGGAACAGCUCUCUCUGUCACGUCACCCUCUGAGACUGCAUUGCACUGUCUGCCUGGAGAAAGAGUCCAUUCCCAUCAGACCAUGAGACACAGGAGUGGAAGUGAGGCUUCAGCCCAUCAAGUCCACUCCGCCAUUCAAUCAUGGCUGAUGGGCAUUUCAACUCCCACUUACCCGCACUCUCCCCGUAGCCCUUAGUUCCGCGAGACAACAAGAACCCAGCCGCACGAUGUGUUGGAGCGUUCAGAAAUAGCAGUGCUUCAAAGCACAGCAUCCCCCUCCCGACCCCACCGUGAGCCACACUGUAUCCCUGUCCCCCAGAUACAGCCGUCUGUACAAAUCCCACCUCCCACUGCCUCUCUCCCCCCCCCCCCCCCCCCAGCACAAUCCCCUCAGAGGUGCCAUAGCGGAGAUUGCUGUGUGUGUGUGUGUGUGUGUGUUCGAACAGCCCCUUCUUUCGGGAGUGAUUUUUGUAAUGAAUCAUAGCUUCCCCCUGACCCAGCAGCUGAAUCUUCACCGCGAUCAUUAACUGUGAAGAAACACCUUCUUUAAAAACAAAUGAUUAAAAGCGCUAGAGUCGUCUCUUGACAAAAAAAAGUGAGUCUUAACUUUGUAUUGAUUUCUGCUUUUUGUUUUUGAAUGAAAUAAAAAUCCUCGAAAAUCA